CCUACGGGUGGCAGCAGUGGGGAAUCUUGCGCAAUGGGCGAAAGCCUGACGCAGCAACGCCGCGUGUGUGAUGAAGGUCUUCGGAUCGUAAAGCACUGUCGGCAGGAACGAGGGUUGCUUUGGCUAACAUCCAAAGUGAUUGACGGUACCUGCAAAGGAAGCACCGGCUAACUCUGUGCCAGCAGCCGCGGUAAUACAGAGGGUGCAAGCGUUGUUCGGAAUCAUUGGGCGUAAAGCGCUCGUAGGCGGUUUGCUAAGUCAGGUGUGAAAGCCCC
Molecule: ribosomal RNA, 275 nt
Filed under: uncultured bacterium
Lineage: Bacteria
Description: partial 16S ribosomal RNA
Rfam family: Bacterial small subunit ribosomal RNA
Source: RNAcentral